This 454-nucleotide ribosomal RNA is filed under the name uncultured bacterium. RNAcentral describes it as "bacterial SSU rRNA". It matches the Rfam family "Bacterial small subunit ribosomal RNA", at positions 28 to 502 of the family's 1533-position model. The record is from RNAcentral.
GAUGAACGCUGGCGGCGUGCUUAACACAUGCAAGUCGAACGUGAGAGGUAGCAAUAUCUUGAAAGUGGCGCACGGGUGAGUAACACGUAGGUAACCUGCCUCGGAGUGGGGGAUAACAGUUAGAAAUGACUGCUAAUACCGCAUGAAUCCAUUAAGAUGGGAAUGUUGAUGGAGAAAACUCUGGUGCUUCGAGAGGGGCCUGCGGUCGAUUAGCUAGUUGGCGGGUAACGGCCCACCAAGGCGACGAUCGAUAGCUGGUCUGAGAGGACGAUCAGCCACACGGGAACUGAGACACGGUCCGACUCCUACGGGGGCAGCAGUGAGGAAUAUUGGGCAAUGGGCGGAAGCCUGACCCAGCAACGCCGCGUGGAGGAAUGAAGGCCUUCGGGUUGUAAACGUCCUUUUGCAGGGAAGAGGAAGGAACGGUACCCGUGCGAAUAAGUCACGGCUAACU